UACAGCAUCUGCACCUGAUUCUAUCGCUGCCUCAGCUGCUGACUGCACCUCUGCAGCCACCAAUGUCUCACUGCCAAGGCUGCAGCCUGGGGGAGCCUUCACAUCUAGCUGCCACCACCUCAGCCACCUCCACACCUCCAGGGACUCUCUGAAUUUGGAGUUUAUGGAUUCAUGGAGACAGACUGCCCAGCAUGCUCUGAGGAUCCACUUGUGUGCACCUGCCAGUGCUAGUUUUACAGCAUUAGGUGAUGGAGCCCUUCUCCACCUGAAAAGGCAGAGGACAUGUCAGAGGAAAUAUCAUGGAGGGAUCUCAGUGAUGCCAAUGUACAAUCAGCAUCUACGUCACUAGGUUCAAUGUGGGUUAUCUCAAGUGUGGUUAAAAAAAAAAAAAAUGUGUUCCCUGAGCCACUUGGAGGAGAACAACUUUGAAACACCUGGAACAAAGAGAUUUUAUGAGGGCCUUGCCCAAAAAGACAUGCUUUAUAAAAGAAAAAGUAAGUAUAUUAUUGGCCAAAUAGAAAACCAUAGAAAGAGCCGUUCCACAAAGAGGCCUGCACAUCAUAUAACACUCCCUCGAUUUCCAUUGAAGAGGAGAUGGAGUCAGCUGGCUCUGCCCACUUUUUUCACAACACCACAACAAAGGCCAGGCAAUAAAGGCCAGAAGAGUGAUUAUUUGAACACAUUUAGAAUGUCUGAGGAGACAGAAAAUGCUGCCUCAUUUAGGAAAACACAUGAGGCUGAGAUAGAGACCAUCACUUGUAGUUCUACAACACUGGAUGUAUUCUGCGUGCUAGAAGACAGCAAGUGUAAAAUGAGCCCUGAACCUCAUGAUGAUGCCAGCAGUAUAGAGAACAAAGCAAGUGAAUAUUUGAGUGACCUUAUUAUUCAGAUGACAGGGGAUCUUAGGUAUUUUGUGUCCCACCCUCAGCAUGGGAACAACCAAUUCGAAAAUGUUAGUGGCAUGAUGACCAUCGACUUCCCAUCUCCAUAUACAAAGGAAGAGCUUCAGGAGGUACACAUAGCCACCAGCAACCACAGCAGAAGGAGCUGA
This 1051-nucleotide long non-coding RNA is filed under the name Cricetulus griseus (Chinese hamster). Its description in RNAcentral is "lncRNA (ENSCGRG00000026300.1)". Lineage: Eukaryota; Metazoa; Chordata; Mammalia; Rodentia; Cricetidae. The record is from RNAcentral.